This 556-nucleotide long non-coding RNA is filed under the name Pogona vitticeps (central bearded dragon). RNAcentral describes it as "lncRNA (ENSPVIG00000005850.1)". Lineage: Eukaryota; Metazoa; Chordata; Lepidosauria; Squamata; Agamidae. The record is from RNAcentral.
AUUAAUAAGAUUGCCCCACCUGAAACAAACAGUCUGCCUUAAUUAGCAAAACCCCAUCUGUCUGGAACAGAAUGCACAAGGUCAGGAGUGUUUGGAAAGCUUAAUUCUGGAGUACACCGAACAUCAAGGCUGAACAAGAUAAUUGCAAAGGACAAAAUUACUCCUUCGAGGCAGUGCAGAAGGUUUAAAAGAAUGCAGCAAUAAUGGUCAAGCAUGAUAAAAUAAUAAUCCGGUCAUUAAACCAAUGGAUUCAGCACUGAUGAAUCGGAAAUUGAGAAACUCCCUCCAGAAUGUCACUGGGGAGCCAUCGUCCUGCCGGUGAAAUGCCUUUGUAUUUAAUCUGCUAAUUAUCCUCCAGAAAGUUCAGGUAGCUGUGUGUCAUUUCAAGGAUGCUGAGGGCCCCAUUCAACACUCAGCUCCACAACGCACAGAUUUCUGUCAUGAGCUAAUGUGAAAUAGCCAAAUGCAAAAAAAUCAUAACACAGAGUGAUAGUGGAAGACAGCAGAAAAAAGUGAAGGUGGUAACAUUCGUGGGUUCCGAAAGUCAGUCAAUCCU